UUCUGGAUGUGGCGUUUCCUCUGCC
Molecule: non-coding RNA, 25 nt
Filed under: Mus musculus (house mouse)
Lineage: Eukaryota; Metazoa; Chordata; Mammalia; Rodentia; Muridae
Source: RNAcentral